RNAcentral lists this ribosomal RNA (564 nucleotides) under uncultured bacterium. RNAcentral describes it as "bacterial SSU rRNA". It matches the Rfam family "Bacterial small subunit ribosomal RNA", at positions 910 to 1478 of the family's 1533-position model. The record is from RNAcentral.
UUGACGGGGACCCGCACAAGCGGUGGAUGAUGUGGUUUAAUUCGAUGCAACGCGAAAAACCUUACCCACCUUUGACAUGUACGGAAUCCUUUAGAGAUAGAGGAGUGCUCGAAAGAGAGCCGUAACACAGGUGCUGCAUGGCUGUCGUCAGCUCGUGUCGUGAGAUGUUGGGUUAAGUCCCGCAACGAGCGCAACCCUUGCCAUUAGUUGCUACGAAAGGGCACUCUAAUGGGACUGCCGGUGACAAACCGGAGGAAGGUGGGGAUGACGUCAAGUCCUCAUGGCCCUUAUAGGUGGGGCUACACACGUCAUACAAUGGCUGGUACAGAGGGUUGCCAACCCGCGAGGGGGAGCUAAUCCCAUAAAGCCAGUCGUAGUCCGGAUCGCAGUCUGCAACUCGACUGCGUGAAGUCGGAAUCGCUAGUAAUCGCGGAUCAGAAUGUCGCGGUGAAUACGUUCCCGGGUCUUGUACACACCGCCCGUCACACCAUGGGAGCGGGUUCUGCCAGAAGUAGGUAGCCUAACCGUAAGGAGGGCGCUUACCACGGCAGGGUUCGUGACUGG